GCGUUAUCCGGAUUUACUGGGUUUAAAGGGUGCGUAGGCGGAUUAUUAAGUCCGUGGUGAAAUCUUUGGGCUCAACCCAAAAAUUGCCAUUGAUACUAUUAGUCUUGAAUGUAGUUGAGGUGGGCGGAAUGAGUCAUGUAGCGGUGAAAUGCUUAGAUAUGACUCAGAACACCAAUUGCGAAGGCAGCUCACUAAACUAAUAUUGACGCUGAGGCACGAAAGCGUG
This 226-nucleotide ribosomal RNA is filed under the name uncultured bacterium. RNAcentral describes it as "partial 16S ribosomal RNA". It matches the Rfam family "Bacterial small subunit ribosomal RNA", at positions 538 to 763 of the family's 1533-position model. The record is from RNAcentral.